Molecule: ribosomal RNA, 254 nt
Filed under: uncultured bacterium
Lineage: Bacteria
Description: partial 16S ribosomal RNA
Rfam family: Bacterial small subunit ribosomal RNA
Source: RNAcentral
UACGUAGGGUGCAAGCGUUUGUCCGGAAUUAUUGGGCGUAAAGAGCUCGUAGGCGGUCUGUCGCGUCUGCUGUGAAAACUCAGGGCUUAACCCUGAGCUUGCAGUGGGUACGGGGCAGACUAGAGUGCGGUAGGGGAGAUUGGAAUCCUGGUGUAGCGGUGGAAUGCGCAGAUAUCAAGAGGAACACCGGUGGCGAAGGCGGAUCUCUGGGCCAUUACUGACGCUGAGGAGCGAAAGCGUGGGGAGCGAACAGG